Molecule: unclassified non-coding RNA, 353 nt
Filed under: soil metagenome
Description: partial contains 5.8S ribosomal RNA, internal transcribed spacer 2, and large subunit ribosomal RNA
Rfam family: 5.8S ribosomal RNA (bases 1-120)
Source: RNAcentral
GAUGAAGAAUGUAGCGAAAUGCGAUAAGUAAUGUGAAUUGCAGAAUUCAGUGAAUCAUCGAAUCUUUGAACGCACAUUGCGCCCGCCAGUAUUCUGGCGGGCAUGCCUGUUCGAGCGUCAUUACAACCCUCAGGCCCCCGGGCCUGGCGUUGGGGAUCGGCGGAAGCCCCCUGCGGGCACAACGCCGUCCCCCAAAUACAGUGGCGGUCCCGCCGCAGCUUCCAUUGCGUAGUAGCUAACACCUCGCAACUGGAGAGCGGCGCGGCCACGCCGUAAAACACCCAACUUCUGAAUGUUGACCUCGAAUCAGGUAGGAAUACCCGCUGAACUUAAGCAUAUCAAUAAGCGGAGGA